This 301-nucleotide ribosomal RNA is filed under the name uncultured bacterium. RNAcentral describes it as "partial 16S ribosomal RNA". It matches the Rfam family "Bacterial small subunit ribosomal RNA", at positions 509 to 807 of the family's 1533-position model. The record is from RNAcentral.
CAGCAGCCGCGGUAAUACAGAGGGUGCGAGCGUUAAUCGGAUUUACUGGGCGUAAAGCGUGCGUAGGCGGCUUCUUAAGUCGGAUGUGAAAUCCCUGAGCUUAACUUAGGAAUUGCAUUCGAUACUGGGAAGCUAGAGUAUGGGAGAGGAUGGUAGAAUUCCAGGUGUAGCGGUGAAAUGCGUAGAGAUCUGGAGGAAUACCGAUGGCGAAGGUAGCCAUCUGGCCUAAUACUGACGCUGAGGUACGAAAGCAUGGGGAGCAAACAGGAUUAGAUACCCGUGUAGUCCCUGUCUCUUAUAC